This 354-nucleotide ribosomal RNA is filed under the name Synoeca ilheensis. RNAcentral describes it as "partial 12S ribosomal RNA". The record is from RNAcentral. Lineage: Eukaryota; Metazoa; Arthropoda; Insecta; Hymenoptera; Vespidae.
AAUUAAAUUUAAUUAAAUUAAUUAUAAAUUAUUAAAUGUUAAAUCAUUAAAUUUAAAAGAUUUGGCGGUAUUUUAGAAAGUUAGAGGAACCUGUAUAGUAAUUGAUAAUCCACAAUAAGAUAUACUUAAUUAAAAGUUUAUGUAUUGCUGUUUAAAGAUUAUUAAUAAAUAAGUUUUUAAAUUUUUAUAUAUAAAUAAAUUCAAGUCAAAAUAUAAUUUAGUUAAGAUUAAUAUGGGUUACAAUUAUUUAUAUAAAUAAUAAUAAUGAAUAAAUAAAUUUAAUUUUAUUUUAAAAGUGGAUUUAAUAGUAAAUUUAAUAAAUAAAUUAUUUUGAAAUAAAAUAAUAAAAUAAGU